AUCCUUUAUAAACACAUUCUAUGAACACCUUCAGGAAUGCAUGGAUCAUGCAAUCCCAAAUAAAACCAAGACCCAAUCCUCCAAAGGCAGACGUCCUGUCUGGUGGACCCCAGCCAUAAACAAACUAUACAAUAGAAGGCGGAAGCUACU
Protopterus annectens (West African lungfish) is the source of this 150-nucleotide long non-coding RNA. RefSeq lists it as uncharacterized. NCBI's taxonomy places the organism in Eukaryota, Metazoa, Chordata, Ceratodontiformes, Protopteridae. The record is from RefSeq and is a predicted model, not a curated record. The transcript is spliced from 2 exons.